AACGAACGCUGGCGGCAUGCCUAACACAUGCAAGUCGAACGGGAACGGCCUGCUUAUUGGCGGUGCGCGGAUGACGAACGGGUGAUUAACAAGUGACUAAGGUACAACUGAUUGUAGGAAAACUUCAGAAAGCAGGGGGUAAUACCGGAUAAGAUCUACUGCUGCAUGAUGAGCGUGGGAAAGUUUCGGCGGUUGGGGAUGGACUGGCGGAUUAUCCGCUUGUUCGUGGGGUAGUGGCUUACCAAGGCUUGGCAGGGUAGCCUGCCUGCGAGGGUCACCGGCCACAUUGGGACUGAGAUACGGCCCAGACUCCAACGGGAGGCAGCAGUGGGGAGUAUUGCACAAUGGGCGGAAGCCUGAUGCAGCACCGCCGCGUGCGGGAUGACGGCCUUCGGGUUGUAAACCGCUUUCGCCUGUGACGAAGCGUGAGUGACGGUAAUGGGUAAAGAAGCACCGGCUAACUACGUG
This 468-nucleotide ribosomal RNA is filed under the name uncultured bacterium. RNAcentral's name for it is "partial 16S ribosomal RNA". It matches the Rfam family "Bacterial small subunit ribosomal RNA", at positions 29 to 507 of the family's 1533-position model. The record is from RNAcentral.